GACGAACGCUGGCGGCGUGCUUAACACAUGCAAGUCGAACGGAAAGGCCCUGCUUUUGUGGGGUGCUCGAGUGGCGAACGGGUGAGUAACACGUGAGUAACCUGCCCUUGACUUUGGGAUAACUUCAGGAAACUGGGGCUAAUACCGGAUAGGAGCUCCUGCUGCAUGGUGGGGGUUGGAAAGUUUCGGCGGUUGGGGAUGGACUCGCGGCUUAUCAGCUUGUUGGUGGGGUAGUGGCUUACCAAGGCUUUGACGGGUAGCCGGCCUGAGAGGGUGACCGGCGCGACGCGGAGGGGGGGCGGGCGCAGAGCGGGGCGGGAGGCAGGGAUGGGGGUGGGAGGAGAGGGGGCGGACGCAGGGUGAGGAGCGGGCGGGUGGGGGGUGACGGGCUGGGGGGGGUACGCCGCUGUCGCGGGUGGGGGAGGGGGGGUGACGGUAAUGGGAAAAGAAGCACAGGCUACCGACGGAGCAGAAGGCGAGGUAAUAAUCGGAAGAGCACACGCCUGAGU
RNAcentral lists this ribosomal RNA (509 nucleotides) under uncultured bacterium. RNAcentral describes it as "partial 16S ribosomal RNA". The stretch from base 21 to 328 matches the Rfam family "Bacterial small subunit ribosomal RNA", at positions 48 to 357 of the family's 1533-position model. The record is from RNAcentral.